UACGAAGGGGGCUAGCGUUGCUCGGAAUCACUGGGCGUAAAGGGUGCGUAGGCGGCUCUUUAAGUCAGGGGUGAAAUCCUGGAGCUCAACUCCAGAACUGCCUUUGAUACUGAGGAUCUCGAGUUCGGGAGAGGUGAGUGGAACUGCGAGUGUAGUGGUGAAAUUCGAAGAUAUUCGCAAGAACACCAGUGGCGAAGGCGGCUCACUGGCCCGAUACUGACGCUGAGGCACGAAAGCGUGGGGAGCAAACAGG
Molecule: ribosomal RNA, 253 nt
Filed under: uncultured bacterium
Lineage: Bacteria
Description: partial 16S ribosomal RNA
Rfam family: Bacterial small subunit ribosomal RNA
Source: RNAcentral